RNAcentral lists this ribosomal RNA (253 nucleotides) under uncultured bacterium. RNAcentral describes it as "partial 16S ribosomal RNA". It matches the Rfam family "Bacterial small subunit ribosomal RNA", at positions 524 to 776 of the family's 1533-position model. The record is from RNAcentral.
GACGUAGGGGGCGAGCGUUGUCCGGAUUUAUUGGGCGUAAAGCGUGCGUAGGCGGCUGCGCAAGUCGGGUGUGAAACCCCGGGGCUCAACCCCGGAACUGCAUCCGAUACUGCGUGGCUAGAGGUAGGUAGGGGAGAUCGGAAUUCCUGGCGUAGCGGUGGAAUGCGCAGAUAUCAGGAAGAACACCGGUGGCGAAGGCGGCUCUCUGGGCCUUACCUGACGCUGAGGAGCGAAAGCGUGGGUAGCAAACAGG